This 301-nucleotide ribosomal RNA is filed under the name uncultured bacterium. Its description in RNAcentral is "partial 16S ribosomal RNA". It matches the Rfam family "Bacterial small subunit ribosomal RNA", at positions 509 to 809 of the family's 1533-position model. The record is from RNAcentral.
CAGUAGCCGCGGUAAUACGAAGGGUGCAAGCGUUACUCGGAAUUACUGGGCGUAAAGCGUGCGUAGGUGGUGGUUUAAGUCCGUUGUGAAAGCCCUGGGCUCAACCUGGGGAUUGCAGUGGAUACUGGAUCACUAGAGUGUGGUAGAGGAUAGUGGAAUUUCCGGUGUAGCAGUGAAAUGCGUAGAGAUCGGAAGGAACAUCUGUGGCGAAGGCGACUAUCUGGGCCAACACUGACACUGAGGCACGAAAGCGUGGGGAGCAAACAGGAUUAGAUACCCCUGUAGUCCCUGUCUCUUAUAU